GACGAACGCUGGCGGCGUGCCUAAUACAUGCAAGUAGAACGCUGAAGGAGGAGCUUGCUUCUCUGGAUGAGUUGCGAACGGGUGAGUAACGCGUAGGUAACCUGCCUGGUAGCGGGGGAUAACUAUUGGAAACGAUAGCUAAUACCGCAUAAGAGUAGAUGUUGCAUGACAUUUGCUUAAAAGGUGCAAUUGCAUCACUACCAGAUGGACCUGCGUUGUAUUAGCUAGUUGGUGGGGUAACGGCUCACCAAGGCGACGAUACAUAGCCGACCUGGGAGGGGGAUCGGCCCACCUUGGACUGGGACACGGCCCAGACUCCUACGGGAGGCAGCAGUAGGGAAUCUUCGGCAAUGGACGGAAGUCUGACCGAGCAACGCCGCGUGAGUGAAGAAGGUUUUCGGAUCGUAAAGCUCUGUUGUAAGAGAAGAACGAGUGUGAGAGUGGAAAGUUCACACUGUGACGGUAUCUUACCAGAAAGGGACGGCUAACUACGUG
This 495-nucleotide ribosomal RNA is filed under the name uncultured bacterium. Its description in RNAcentral is "partial 16S ribosomal RNA". It matches the Rfam family "Bacterial small subunit ribosomal RNA", at positions 28 to 507 of the family's 1533-position model. The record is from RNAcentral.